UACGUAGGUGGCAAGCGUUGUUCGGAAUUACUGGGCGUAAAGCGCGCGUAGGCGGCUCUUCAAGUCAGGCGUGAAAGCCCCGAGCUUAACUCGGGAACUGCGCUUGAUACUGUCGAGCUAGAGUGUGGAAGGGGCGAUUGGAAUCCCGUGUGUAGCGGUGAAAUGCGUAGAUAUACGGAGGAACACCAGGGGCGAAGGCGGAUCGCUGGGCCAACACUGACGCUGAUGCGCGAAAGCUAGGGGAGCAAACGGG
Molecule: ribosomal RNA, 253 nt
Filed under: uncultured bacterium
Lineage: Bacteria
Description: partial 16S ribosomal RNA
Rfam family: Bacterial small subunit ribosomal RNA
Source: RNAcentral